This 1171-nucleotide long non-coding RNA is filed under the name Gallus gallus (chicken). Its description in RNAcentral is "lncRNA (ENSGALG00010027486.1)". Lineage: Eukaryota; Metazoa; Chordata; Aves; Galliformes; Phasianidae. The record is from RNAcentral.
CCACGAAGAGGAGGGCCGGCAGCGCCCAACGUGCUCCUCCGCCCUGCAAGAGGCGGCCCCCCCAGCGCCGCUAGCGGGGCUCCCACUUCUUGCCAAUAAAAGAUAAAAACGUACAUGCACGUGUUGUUCCUAGAGACGGCUCAGCCUUCACACACACACCCUACACAUGCUGUGCCACAUGAGAACCAGUUCUCUCGGCACCUGGUGUGGACGUGCCACCAUUCAACCCUUCCCCUGGGCCAUGCGUGCAGUGUGAGCUGCAGAGCCACUGCGAGCGGGAUCCUCUGAGCGGUGGGUGAAGACAGCCAAAGUGCCGGCAGGUAGAGCUAUUUUCAAUAGGAGCCCAUCUACGCACUCAAGCAGAACGCUCCUUAGUUCCCAGUUCAUGUGGCUUGCUUAAUUGCAGCGCCUUUCACACUGCCACAGUCUUAUCUCCAGAUCUGUGUCCAUGACGAGGACAGCAGGCCCACGGGCCCACCAGCCCAAAAAGGUGGGGAAAGCGGGAAAGCGAACAAAAGGGAAUGAGGGGGGGAAAAAAACAGUGGCAACGAUCUGAGGAGGAAAACAAACCUAGUUUACCAAUUAUAAUAGUGAAAAUACAAGUCAGUUGGGAUUGAAGCUAAUACAUCACAUAGAUGAGUUUCUGAAGACCGAGGUUCUUCCUCUGAUCUGCCAGGGAGCAAAGAGAACUACUCUCAUGACUUCCACUCAGAUUUAUCUUUCCCACCAACCGGAAAACAGAAAUGCAACAGGGAAGUCUUCUGGGGGCUGUCGUACAUUUCAUCCCUUCUGAGACAGGUAAACGGAACUGUCGACAAUCCACAGAACUGCAGCAUUAACUUUCCAACUCCCAGUGCACUGCAUGAAGUUAUCACGUGGAGAACCGAUAACAAAAACCGUAACAUCACGACACACACGCAUGGAUAAACUGUGCAAUACUAUCCACUAAGCACACUGCCAGGGGUCCGGCGUAGGGGGUAGAGGUCACUGUCCUUCUUAAUACACUUUUUACAAACGGGUGCAGUGCUCUCUUUUCUUGUCAGUGCGGACAUCUUGGCUGCCAUUACUUUUCAAGUCUGACAGAGAGUGGCUUGUCAACUCCAUCUUCCAAUUCCUUGAGGACUCUGGAAUGAAUCUGGUUGGGCCCCAGGGGCCGGUUCCAGGCUCCUCA